GGGGAUGAUCGGUUUCGACGGAGGUGGCUGGCACAGAACUGCAAGCCGAGAGGCGCCGAACUCGCAAAAUCAGCGCACAUAAAAAUAAGUGCCAAACGCACUGACUUAGCAGCUCUUCCCCUUGCGGCCUAAAUCCGCUAAGAGAGGAGCUCGGUCCUAAUCAAAAGGACCCGUCUCCCCACAGCUUCCUUGGCCGGUGUGGGGUAAGGCGACAAAGUGUCAAGGUGCCGCGCAGUAGGCCACGCGAUGCGCGAAAGAGGAGCUUUCGGGCUCCAGUGGAUGGCUGUCAGGAUAAGCCCGUCGACUGGCAACUUGACGGUGAGAAACCAAUAGGUCGACUAUGCUUGUAGAAGCUCUGUGACCGAAACCUACGGACGCGGGUUCGAUUCCCGCCAUCUCCACCU
Molecule: transfer-messenger RNA, 404 nt
Filed under: Anaerolineales bacterium
Lineage: Bacteria; Bacillati; Chloroflexota; Anaerolineae; Anaerolineales
Rfam family: transfer-messenger RNA
About the family: Bacterial tmRNA, also known as 10Sa RNA or SsrA, is named for its dual tRNA and mRNA-like properties. Its role is to liberate the mRNA from a stalled ribosome. To accomplish this part of the tmRNA is used as a reading frame that ends in a translation stop signal.
Source: RNAcentral